CCUACGGGGGGCAGCAGUGAGGAAUAUUGGUCAAUGGUCGAGAGUCUGAACCAGCCAAGUAGCGUGAAGGAUGAAUGCCCAAUGGGUUGUAAACUUCUUUUAUAAAGGAAUAAAACGAGGCACGUGUGCCCUGAUGCAUGUACUUUAUGAAGAAGGAUCGGCUAACUCCGUGCCAGCAGCCGCGGUAAUACGGAGGAUGCGAGCGUUAUCCGGAUUUAUUGGGUUUAAAGGGAGCGUAGAUGGGUUGGUAAGUCAGUGGUGAAAGUUUGCGGCUCAACCGUAAAAUUGCCCUUGAUACGGGCAGUCUUGCGUUCAGUUGAGGUAGGCGGACUUCGUUGUGUAGCGGUGAAAUGCUUAGAUCUCACGCAGAACCCCGAUUGCGCAGGCAGCUUACUAAACUGUGCCUGACAUUGAUGCUCGAAAGUGUGGGUAUCAAACAGGAUUAGAUACCCUGGUAGUC
RNAcentral lists this ribosomal RNA (460 nucleotides) under uncultured bacterium. RNAcentral describes it as "partial 16S ribosomal RNA". It matches the Rfam family "Bacterial small subunit ribosomal RNA", at positions 338 to 795 of the family's 1533-position model. The record is from RNAcentral.